AGAAAAUUUAGUUAAAAUUAUAACCUCAGCUUGUCAUGCUGAAAUCGCCUUCAAGGCAAUUUUC
Molecule: transfer RNA, 64 nt
Filed under: Semibalanus cariosus
Lineage: Eukaryota; Metazoa; Arthropoda; Thecostraca; Balanomorpha; Balanidae
Description: tRNA-Asp
Source: RNAcentral